GUGCUUGCUUUGGCAGUACAUAGACUAAAACUGGAAUGAUACAGAGAAGAUUAGCAUGGCCCCUGUAGAAGGAUGACAUGCAAAUUUGUGGAGUAUUCCACAUUUUU
RNAcentral lists this small nuclear RNA (107 nucleotides) under Bison bison bison. The record is from RNAcentral. Lineage: Eukaryota; Metazoa; Chordata; Mammalia; Artiodactyla; Bovidae.